GUGUACACAAGACAGAGCUCCCAUCAAGUUUUUUUAAACUUUACAAUUAAAUCCACCUUCAAAAGAUUUUUCAUAAACUUUUUCCGUAUCAUUCUCAUAAAUGUAACCCACCUCUAUCUUUUACAUUAGCUGCACCUUUACUUGAAGUCUAUGAUUAUAUCAUGCACGAGAGCUUUCUAAAGAAACUAACUGACAACAGCGGUAUACAAACUGAAUUACUAGUAAAAGUAGGGUCUUCGUGGCUCAUCGUUUAUAGGGCAGGUUCCUCUAAAUGGCUAUCUUGCCGCCAAAUCCGUUAAAUUUCAUAAAUUACUAUUAUUCCAAGGCUUUUUCCUUAUAAGUA
RNAcentral lists this ribosomal RNA (343 nucleotides) under Armatobalanus allium. RNAcentral describes it as "partial 12S ribosomal RNA". The record is from RNAcentral. Lineage: Eukaryota; Metazoa; Arthropoda; Thecostraca; Balanomorpha; Balanidae.